Gasterosteus aculeatus aculeatus (three-spined stickleback) is the source of this 949-nucleotide long non-coding RNA. The record is from Ensembl. NCBI's taxonomy places the organism in Eukaryota, Metazoa, Chordata, Actinopteri, Perciformes, Gasterosteidae.
AAAGAGGUGUUUCCCCUCCCCGCAGGAGCAGCUGUUCCUCGCGUCGCCUGCCGGUGAAAAGCAGCUCCCUGCCGGCUGCAGGAGCAGCAGCAGCCGGCAGGGAGCUUCCCGCGUGUCCCGCUCGGCUCGGCUCGGCUCGGCAACCAAGCACGACCGGGGAAUUACUUACACCCCGAGAAGGUGUUUAGCAACUACAUGGAACGUAUUCGCAGCGUGUAAAAUAAUUAGACACGAAUGUCGUUCGCCCCGCGUAGCGGCUCCUCGCGAGGGACCCGCCAUGUUCACCCGCACGGCGAGCAGCGUGGCUCGUUUGAACUUUAACACAAUUGGAAGCAGCGCGAUUUGUUGUUGUUGGAUGGUUUAUUCACAAUCCAGCCCGCUGAGGGCUCGUUUUAGCCCGUCCUCAUUUUAAAGCCUCAAUCAAAGGCAGAGGUCUGGAUCAAAGUGAGUUAAUGAAGUUUGCAGGAGGUGUUGAGGAGAGGAGCGCUGGUAAAUCCUGGCCAGGGAGAGACGGCUGUGCAAGGCUUCAUAUCACAUCACAGAUCCAGCAAUAACAUUCAUGAAUAUUCCUCCUUUUCACCAUUCCUUGUCGAUCCCUCACAAGGUCACGGUUGGCCAUCUGUGCUGCGUCCAGGCUUUGAAGCCCGCCAGCGAAAUUGUUACAGCAGCAAAUAGAAUUGUUUUUCUUUCAACACAGAAAUGCAGAUUUUUAAUGUCAAGGCCAGUUUGAUAUAUUUGCAGCAGACAAGUCUAAAGGACAGCGGAGCAUAAAAGGAUUGUUGAGAUUACGAGUUUGACGUUGGAAUCUUUAAAAUGUUUUAUGGUGCUUCAAAAUAGCGCUCUGUAGACUCCUCGUCUUUUUCUGGCAUGCUGUGAGAGAUGUGAAAGAAGUCUGUAUUUCUGAAGGCUAUUGAGUUCUAAAAAACCUUACAAAAAUUAAAUAAAUGGC